Nerophis ophidion (straightnose pipefish) is the source of this 2597-nucleotide long non-coding RNA. RefSeq lists it as uncharacterized. The record is from RefSeq and is a predicted model, not a curated record. NCBI's taxonomy places the organism in Eukaryota, Metazoa, Chordata, Actinopteri, Syngnathiformes, Syngnathidae. The transcript is spliced from 3 exons.
GUAAGGUGUAAGUCAGGUGUGUUAGGUGUGUAAGGUGUAAGUCAGGUGUUUAAGGUGUAAGUCAGGUGUGUUAGGUGUGUAAGGUGUAAGUCAGGUGUUUAAGGUGUAAGUCAGGUGUUUAAGGUGUAAGUCAGGUGUAUAAGGUGUAAGUCAGGUGUGUAAGGUGUAAGUCAGGUGUCUAAGGAGUAAGUCAGGUGUGUUAGGUGUGUAAGGUGUAAGUCAGGUGUGUUAGGUGUAAGUUAGGUGUGUAAGAUGUAAGUCAGGUGUGUUAGGUGUGUAAGGUGUAAGUCAGGUGUUUAAGGUGUAAGUCAGGUGUGUUAGGUGUGUAAGGUGUAAGUCAGGUGUUUAAGGUGUAAGUCAGGUGUUUAAGGUGUAAGUCAGGUGUAUAAGGUGUAAGUCAGGUGUGUAAGGUGUAAGUCAGGUGUCUAAGGAGUAAGUCAGGUGUGUUAGGUGUGUAAGGUGUAAGUCAGGUCUUUAAGGUGUAAGUCAGGUCUUUAAGGUGUGUUAGCUGUGUAAGGUGUAAGUCAGGUGUGUAAGGUGUAAGUCAGGUGUGUUAGGUGUAAGUCAGGUGUGUUAGGUGUAAGUCAGGUGUGUAAGGUGUAAGUCAGGUGUGUAAGGUGUAAGUCAGGUGUGUUAGGUGUAAGUCAGGUGUGUAAGGUGUAAGUCAGGUGUGUAAGGUGUAAGUCAGGUGUGUAAGGUGUAAGUCAGGUGUUUAAGGUGUAAGUCAGGUGUUUAAGGUGUAAGUCAGGUGUGUAAAGUGUAAGUCAGGUGUUUAAGGUGUGUAAGGUGUAAGUCAGGUCUGUAAGAUGUGUGUUAUGUGUGUAAAGUGUAAGUCAGGUGUGUAAGGUGUGUGUUAGGUGUGUAAGGUGUAAGUCAGGUGUGUAAGGUGUGUGUUAGGUGUAAGUCAGGUCUGUAAGGUUUGUGUUAGGUGUGUAAAGUGUAAGUAAGGUGUGUGUUAGGUGUGUAAGGUGUAAGUCAGGUGUGUAAGGUGUGUCUUCGGUGUGUAAGGUGUAAGUCAGGUGUGUAAGGUGUGUGUUAGGUGUUUAAGGUGUAAGUCAGGUGUGUAAGGUGUGUGUUAGGUGUGUAAGAUGUGUGUUAUGUGUGUAAAGUGUAAGUCAGGUGUGUAAGGUGUGUGUUAGGUGUGUAAGGUGUAAGUCAGGUGUGUAAGGUGUGUGUUAGGUGUAAGUCAGGUGUGUUUGGUGUGUAAGGUGUAAGUCAGGUGUUUUAGGUGUGUUAGGUGUAAGUCAGGUGUGUUAGGUGUGUAAGGUGUAAGUCAGGUGUGUAAGGUGUGUUAAGUGUGUAAGGUGUAAGUCAGGUGUGUAAGGUGUAAGUCGGGUGUGUAAGGUGUGUGUUAGGUGUGUAAGGUGUAAGUCAGGUGUGUAAGGUGUGUGUUAGGUGUGUAAGGUGUAAGUCAGGUGUGUAAGGUGUGUGUUAGGUGUGUAAGAUGUAAGUCAGGUGUUUAAGGUGUGUUAGGUGUGUAAGGUGUAAGUCAGGUGUGUUAAGUGUGUAAGGUGUAAGUCAGGUGUGUAAGGUGUGUCUUAGGUGUGUAAGGUGUAAGUCAGGUGUGUAAGGUGUGUGUUAGGUGUGUAAGAUGUAAGUCAGGUGUUUAAGGUGUGUAAGGUGUAAGUCAGGUGUGUUAGGUGUUUAAGGUGUAAGUCAGGUGUGUUAGGUGUGUAAGGUGUAAGUCAGGUGUGUAAGGUGUGUGUAAGGUGUUAGUCAGGUGUGUGUUAGGUGUUUAAGGUUUAAGUCAGGUGUGUAAGGUGUGUGUAAGGUGUAAGUCAGGUGUGUAAGGUGUGUCUUAGGUGUGUAAGGUGUAAGUCAGGUGUGUAAGGUGUGUGUUGGAUGUGUAAGGUGUAAGUCAGGUGUGUAAGGUGUGUCUUCGGUGUGUAAGGUGUAAGUCAGGUGUGUGUUAGGUGUUUAAGGUGUAAGUCAGGUGUGUAAGGUGUAAGUCAGGUCUGUAAGGUUUGUGUUAGGUGUGUAAGGUGUAAGUCAGGUGUGUGUUAGGUGUUUAAGGUGUAAGUCAGGUGUGUAAGGUGUAAGUCAGGUCUGUAAGAUGUGUGUUAUGUGUGUAAAGUGUAAGUCAGGUGUGUAAGGUGUGUGUUAGGUGUGUAAGGUGUAAGUCAGGUGUGUAAGGUGUGUGUUAGGUGUGUAAGGUGUAAGUCAGGUGUGUAAGGUAUGUCAGUCAGGUGUUUAAGGUGUGUGUUAUGUGUGUAAAGUGUAAGUCAGGUGUGUAAGGUGUAAGAUGUGUGUUAUGUGUGUAAAGUGUAAGUCAGGUGUGUAAGGUGUGUGUUACGUGUGUAAAGUGUAAGUCAGGUGUGUAAGGUGUGUGUAAGGUGUAAGUCAGGUGUGUAAGGUAUGUGUUAGGUGUGUAAGGUGUAAGUCAGGUGUGUAAGGUGUGUGUUAGGUGUGUAAGGUGUAAGUCAGGUGUGUAAGGUGUGUCAGUCAGGUGUGUAAGGUGUAAGUAAGUCAGUCAGGUGUUUAAGGUGUAAGUCAGGUGGUGUAAUUUAGGUGUGUAAGGUGUGUCAGUUAGGUGGUUUAAGUCAGGUGUGUAAGGUGUAAGUCAGUCAGGUGGGUAAGGUUUAAGUCAGGUGGGUAAG